AUCAGCUUCACCUCAUCCCACCCCAUCUCAGAAAGUACUGAAAUACCUCCAGCAUGGCACAAGUGUUAAGCUCAGUAAGAAUUGUUUUGGCCCAGGGAAACCUUUGAAAAUCAGUCUUUGCUAAUGCUUUGCCCUGGCAGCAACCAGCAGCAGUUAAGAUGGUCAUAAAAUAAGCAGCACAGCAGGGGUAUGUGUUUUGUCUUGUGGAAAAACACAGGAGGGAAAGCGGGGCUUUAUCACCACCGAGUAUUGGUGUGUUCCUGUAAUGCAGCAAUGACUGUGAAAUAUAUUGUGCUGGAACAUAAGAAAGGAUAUUUCUGUUCAAUGCUGUGCUGCCAUAUAAAGCUGAUUUAUGUCCUUUUGAAGAUACAAAAGAGUCUGCUGUAUUGCUCUUUGCACAGAGUAAUGUUGUUGUGCUUCUGAAAAAUUUGCAUUAGCAACUAAUGCCUUAUUCAUUUCCUUUUUUAGUAAGAAGGAUACUGUUCAGAAACAGGGUUCACUAUAUCAGGUUCCUAUGGUCCGAGCUCUAUAUUCAUCCCCUUGUCAAGAUUUUACCAAGUAAAGUGUCUUCACCCUCUUGAUUCUCCCAUUAUUGAGAUGGGUUUCGCUCGCAGCUAACCCAUUUUUUCCUGUGUUACGUCACAAAGAGAUGACCUGCUUUUUCUCUAACAAUUUAGUUCCAGUAGAAGUGAAAUGCUAGUGGCUUCACGGGAGGGAACUCAUCGCUGACAGUGGUUGGCAGAGAGAGCCGUGCCUGCUCCAUAGAUAGGUUCAAACGUUCCUUUUAUUGAAUAAUUUAAAAAACAACAAUGAAGAAAUUAGGCUUGGAUAACAUCCAGACUGUGUAAUUAUAAGGUUUCUGUCUUUAAAUCUGAAUUAUCACAGACACUGCAAGUGAUGUUUUAUAACAGUAUCAAAGUCGAUUAUCUGAUUGCUAGUUAGCCCUGUUCUUCCUUCCACCAAGCAGCACCAGCUUGCAUGGCACUCAUAAUCAACCCCAAGCCAAACUGGUCCCAACACUAAGUAACUGUACACGCUCUGCUGCUUUUACACACCUUGCUGGGCUCUGCUUCCAUAACAUUAAGCUUAAAGCUUGAAGGAACAGAGGGAUGGAUGUGAUUCCUGGCUUAGUUCAUCAGUGGCUGUACAAUGCUGCAUCAAUAAAGAUACGAAAGAGCAUAAACCUGCAGGAAAUAUUUAGGAAACCAUUGAAAAGGGAACUGCUAGUCAUAAAAUAUUCACAUUUCUUUCUGCCUUUCAAUUAAAAAAAAAAAAAAAAAAAAAAAAAAAAAAAAAAGGAAAAAGCAGAUGGGAAAAAAAAAUAGAGCAUACUAUUACCCAUUAGUCCAGGGAGCAUAAAUAGGAAUAAGGAUAAUUUUUUAAAAGGGAUUCUUAGGCUGAAUUCUGAAGAAUUUCUUGGACAAUUAGAUUUGCCAAGCUGUAGUCUAUACAGACAAGUCAAGUGGUAUCAAUCACAAGAUCCAUUUUAUACUAGAAUGGAAAAAGUAAUAGAAAUGCUAUAGCAAGCAAUCACACCUUCCUAGGGAAGGGACCACAUGGGCAAGCAGCGGUAUUCCUUCUCUUCUUCUCUGUACAUAGAUGCUCCCUCAGGAGGCCUGGGUUUUCCUUCAGCUCUGCCACUUCACACUGGUCACUUUACCCCUCAGCACUUCAACUUCUUCACCCGUAAAACAAUGAAGAUGCUGUGUCAUUGCCAUGGAGUGCUUCCAGGCAUGCAGAAGGGAGCCUGGAUCAGUGUCUGUUAGCACUAACCCUGGGCCAUCCUGCACACAUCAGGGCCACCAA
This is a long non-coding RNA of Oxyura jamaicensis (ruddy duck), 1806 nucleotides long. RefSeq lists it as uncharacterized. The record is from RefSeq and is a predicted model, not a curated record. NCBI's taxonomy places the organism in Eukaryota, Metazoa, Chordata, Aves, Anseriformes, Anatidae. The transcript is spliced from 2 exons.